Sarcophilus harrisii (Tasmanian devil) is the source of this 1770-nucleotide long non-coding RNA. RefSeq lists it as uncharacterized. The record is from RefSeq and is a predicted model, not a curated record. NCBI's taxonomy places the organism in Eukaryota, Metazoa, Chordata, Mammalia, Dasyuromorphia, Dasyuridae. The transcript has 3 exons.
GCAAGAAAUGGUUAUCUAUCUAUAUACAGAUUCUCAAAAUGUGGAUAACAAGAUAAACUUGAGGUCCUAAAUCCCAAAUCAUGCCCCGGUAGCCAAUGUCCUAAUGGUAAUAUUCUUGGCACUUAACUAGUUGCCGCUGUUGUUAGAAACCCAGUGAAUUGCCAGUCCUGUGCUCUAAAGAGUUGUAAGAGCUGAUAUACCCUUGGCAGAGCCUUUGAAAACUCAAAGUCAGCUUUGCACUGCAGUGAGGUAUCAGAGCAAGACUGCAGAGAGAGGAAUCUUCCUGUAGUUUUGUGUAAGUCAACAGAAGGUGAAGAUAUAUCUGAAUGGGGCAGGAGCUUUUCAAGCAGCUUUCCUUGAGAAGAGAGCAUUAAACAGGAAAGAAACUUUCACAAUGGCUUGCCAAUUGGAAAAUCAAAAGUGAGAAGAAAGGGGAAAAACAAGAUUAGCUGGACAAAAAGAGGAAAGAAAUAAGGAACUUGGAAAUUCAUUCCAGAGCCUGUCAUGGAGGUAGGAACUCUGGGAUGAUCCUACUCACGAUCAGCUCUUGAGCACUGCUUCUUCUUAUGUUCCAUGUUUGGGUGCCAUAUGUUGUGAUAUGGGAGCUACCUGCCAGUGGUAGCUGGAAGUCUAACUCAGACCUGUACAAUGGAUCUCUUCAUGUGAGAGGAUGAUGACAAUGACAUAAGGAAAUUGAGAGGCAGUUGCUGUUCUCUGGUGUAUCUUCAAGAAUAAGACUCAAGAAUAAAGCCUACAGACUUCAGACGACUGCAGACUCCAUCCUUGACCAGACUUAUGGUGGCUCUUCAUCUUCCUCACUUCUCCAUUUGACAACAAAGCCCAUCCACAGAUCCUCCAGAAAGCUAACCCGGACUUGACAUUUUUGGUGUCCAAAUGUGUGGCACUAGACUUGGGGCCCUAGAUGCGAGGCUCUGGCCAUAACACUUACACUCAGGAGUUUGACUGAAGCAAUCAUAAACUCAAUGGAGAAGACCCUGUGAUCCCAAAAUAGGGUGAAUACAAAAACAGACAAGUGGGAAACUUUGUUAAGGGCUAAACUAGUCACUUUUGUUCUUCAGCUGAAAUGGGCAAAUAUUAAGAAAAGAGGAUUCCCCCACCCUGAGGGCAGUGUGUAGCAUGCAUAGUUAGAUUAAUAAAGAAGCAAGAUUCAUUGAUGACUUGGAAGCAGAUAACUGGACUCUUAAAUAUAUUAAAGUGCACAUCUCCUUGGCUCUCUAAGGAAGAAAAAUAGAGCUAGAUAUGUGGAAACUAGUGGGAGAGCAACUAAUUGAAUAUUAUGAAGCUAAAGUUCCUGAUUCAAUUCCUGAGGAAACAUUCCUUAUAUACAGUAUAAUACAAUUGACUUUAAAGGACCCCACAAGUUCUAAAAAAAAAGGAAAAAUUUCAAUGUAGAUACCUAGACAAAAAAGAGUGAGGAGAAAGAGCAGGAAGGGGAUGGUACUGACAAAGCAGCUGAAACUCAUGGAGAAUUGAACAAGAAAGGAGUUAAGGAUAGUGCUGAUAAACUUAAGGGAUAUGGUGCUUCUUACUUUCACAACUCAGUUUCACUUCUGCCUACCCCUGAGCAGACACCUUAGGGCAUUCCCCAUCUCCUGACUAUCCUCUCCCAACUUCACUUUAGUGAAUAGAGGUAUGAGGAGGAGUGGAAGGGGCAGUGACACCAUCAACAUUACCCGUGCAGCAGCUUUAUCAACCUCUUAUGACACAAUUACAAAAGACAUUAGCUAAAGCUAAAGAGGAAGGACAGGA